AUGGGGAUACAUUGUGUCUCCCUUCCAGCCAUGACUCUGAGCAUGUCUCCGGCUGCGGUUUGCCAGUGCUUUACUUUGGUGUCCCUGUGCACGUCCAUCGCUGACCCCAACUGGAUCCAGGUCAGGAACAGUACUGACCCCGGAGGAAAACAAAUCAUCUAUGGAGUGGCCUUCACACUGCACGCUGCCCAGAACAUCACUGACACAGGUCCUCUGGGUGGUGUUAACGGCUGGGGGAUGUGGCUGCUCUAUGCCCUGGCGGCUCUGUGCUACACUGCUGUCCUGCUCUCCAGCUCCUCCUUCUUAUUGGACUUCUUGGGGACUGGGAUGUCCCACCCUCGACUGGUGGUGUCACUCCACAUCUCCACUGUUGUUUUCCUAAUGUCCGUGCUGGGAGUGUGUGGGGCUUGCCUGUACGUCAUCAGCGGCAACCUUCAGGAGGGCAAAUUUGGGCUACUGUGGGACUGGGUAGGGGGCUGGACCUGGCCCGGGUCUGGGUCUUGGUCUCCUAGGCCUGGCACCAGAAGCCAAGUAGGGGCAGUGGGGAUGCAGGCUUACCCAGGGGAGAGCUUCUACAUUGCCAUUCUGGGCCUACUUUUUUCCUGCCUGGCUUCCGUGAUCAGCCUGAGUUGCCCGGGGGACCCCACCUCUACCCAAAGUGACUACACAGCCGUGGUGGAAGGGGACGACAGUGACACAGAGCCCCUCACCCCCAGGGAGCAGGGAGUGGGCCAGUCUGACGGAGACAACAGGGGGGGGGGGUGGGCAGGAGAGGUAGUCCCUGAACUGAAUCAGGUGGAGGUGGAUGGAGGUGGAGACUGCUAAAGGGGGUUCUGUUUAUAUGUGUAGCCCAAAAGGUGAACUGUGGUUUGGUUUCUACUAGAAUGCGAACCAGGAUCACACAUGGCCUGUAACAGACUUUAUUAGACAGCAGUGCUGGCCCCUUCCCUGGUCAUGUUUUGGUUCCUUUUAAUGCUUUACUUGACCAAGAUAGUAGAAUCCUGUCAGGAGCCAAAAAAAGAGAUCCGAUACGUUUCCUAAUGUUCUCUUAAUGUUUGUCUGCCUAAAAACUCCCCUCUCGGGUCAGUGUGUAUACAGUUGCACAACAUACAUUUUUAAAAAGAAUAACAUCUUUCCCUUGUGAGAGUUUAGGCCCAGAGUCUCCAACUUCACUUGACCAAGGUCAAUAGUUAUUUUGCUUGCUGUGAUGGUUGAAAAAGUGUGCCACAUGUUUAAGCUAUUUCUGUCUGUGUGACCACGGCAAGUGCAUAUAAUACAAAUGUAUAUGCUCUUUUCAAUAUAGUCACUUGCAUGAGGGGAUAGUAAACUCAUCAAUGGGAAGAAGCGUUGACCCUGUUCCCAUUACUGCAAAAUAACCACUGGGGUGUGUUCAGAAUCAGCAAAUGGUUUCAAACAGUUCAAAACCAGAAAAUAUGUUCAAUUGAGCAUAAGUUGAAAUAUAGCCCAUGUUUGUACAAUCACCUAUUCUCCUCUUCUAGUUAUAAAAAUCCCUACAGGAAGGUUUUUUUAAAUGAUUUUUGCAGGUUGUUUUCUAACCUAUGCAUUAUCUUAACUUCUUAAACCCUUUGCACAGUCUUUCACAGUGACACUUGAAGUUUCCCAAAUGGAGGACAGAAAUCCAAUAGAUUAUUCAUAGAUUUACCUGAAGUGUACUGAAACUAGAGUUUCCUUUGAGAAAUUAAAUUUAAAAAGCCUGUUUGGCUAUUAUUGCCACUGUAGCUUUUAUCACUUUUAAUUGAUGCACUAUUUAUUAAUGCAUGGAUGUUUACUACUAUAGGAAGAAUUGAGGGGGAUAUGACAGCUUGCCUUUCCACAACAGGUAGUGUAAAUACAUGGCUCUUGCCUUUAUAUGACUCGAUAUACUAAUGAUAUUAAAAUAUGAUGUAUUGAAUAUUUUAUGUAUUCGAAUGUUUCUGGUUUCAUAAAAUGUUGACACUGCUAUUGGUUACUAGAUAAUACAUAUCACUGUGAAAAUAUAUUCCAGUUUGGCAUCUUUAGAUGGUUACAUUACAGCACAAACCGCCUCUAAAGCAGGGUUAUCCUGCUUAAAGGCAACCAAUAAAACAAGCUCCUUGAUGGUGUUUGGUUGCAGAUGAUGGUAGGACCAUGGAUAUUGGCUUAAUUAAUUAAGAUAGCUAAGAGCCUGCCUAGAAUCAGGUUUUCCUUACCCACUUGUUUCCUGGACACAGAUUUAAGCCUAAUCCUGGAUUGGGAAACAUGUUCAAUCGAGAUUCUCUUUUUAUUUCAAGACCAGGCUUAAUCUGUGUCCGGGAAACUAUCCCUCAAUCUCUUCCUCAGGUACAUAGGAAGACAUUCCUUCUCUUAUUCCAGGGUCACAGUCCCAUCUCUAUGAAUCAGACUGUUCAUUGUGGUUGUUUGUGAUGUUAUUUAUUCAUUAAACUGUUUUUGUGUUUAAGUGAAAUGUGUGAAUGCAUGUUCUUCCUGUUCCAGAACAGAAGUGUCCAGUUCCUCUUAUUCCCACUCAUCUGUUUGUGUUGAUAUCUCAUCUCUGACACUACAGGUUUAUUUCCAACCAACAUCAUCAGGACAUGAUCUUAAUGCAAAACCAUGAGAUCAUCUAACACAUUAUUUUGCUUGCUGGUAUGCAAAUGAUCAGGUAUUAAUUUAGAAACAACAUGGUUAAAUUAUAAUUACCCAGUAAUAAUCUACAGAAUGAAUUACUUUUUUGGGGGGGGGGGGUUCAUUUAAACAAGCCCCUGCAAUAGGCAUUUGGUAAUAGGUUAUGAAAUUGUGUGAAUUAUAUCAAAGUACCUAAAGCCAUUCUAACACUGGUGGUAACAGUACCAUAAAAUCAAUUGCUACCCAAAUUCACCUUGUGGGAACAUCUUGUCAUCAAAUGAGACAUUGAGUAGGGGUCUAGGGAUUUUGUCUUGAACCAAAUUGAAAUCUGAACCCUGUCUGUUGUAUAGAGUAAGUAUCCUGGGGUAUAUGUGACUAUAUAGGGACUGAUGACCUCUCCUCUUCAUGGACAGUCAGAUGGCUCUAAAUAUACCUCAACACGGUCCCACAUGUCUUUCUGAAUGCAUAGGCAGAUUUUAGGGUUAGCCAAACAGAAGGACUCUCUGUGAACAUGAUGUCCCCCCUACAAGCAAUGACUUCAGCAGACAAACCACUAAUUGGUAAAUAGAAAUAAUCAGUUUCUUUCCCCUCCCGCCAUCUUUCCCUUUACUCUGUCACAUGAGUCCAGCCCCUUCUCUCAUUGGACAGAAACCAUUGCCAUAGUAACCUUGACAAAUUGUUGAUGUCGCCAGUGAAUUUGUGAAUGGAGAGGACAAAUGCAGGGUAUUUGAGCAUAUUUUAGUGGUGGUGUUGCGGUCAUGGGUGAGUGAGUGGGAUCCUGUGUGUACACCACACACGCAUGUAGGUACAUGUGUGGACGUGCUAGCACUGGUUUACUGUACAAAAAUAUACGGGAAGUUACAGAUUUUCAUGUAGAUAGUUUGAAAUAUGGUGCAUUUACAAAACAUGUAUUUAUUUUAUAACCCUAAUAUUCACACUUUUUGCGAGGUAAGUCGGACAUAUUUUCAACAAAGCGCGUGUGUGUUUGCGCACGCGUGUACUUUAUGGAGGCGGAUGGAGGGACGAGAGGAUGCUAUUGGUAGCUCAGAGGGGCUGGGACGCGGUGAGAAUUACUACAGUUCCUCUCCACAUGGAGGAGUGGAGCGAGGGAUGAAGAGAGAAUCGACAGGGACGAGCCUACUAGUGGAGCUGUGAGAUUGCUCUUUGUAUACCUUCUUCCACUCCCUCAGUUUUCCUCUGACUCUCUUAUUCUCCCCCUAUGUGACAUUCAACUAUGGCGGCUCAGAAAUUAAAAAAGAGGAGGAGAGGAGAGAAAGAACAGUGGCGUUAUUAAAGAUGGAUGUCAGAUCCUGUUUCACUUGCGUACUUGAAUGCGGUCCCUGUGUAGCCUAUUUGGUCCUGUGUUAUGUUUAUGUGUAGUAGGUCAGUACAGCAUGAAAUGUGAAUACAUUUGUGUUUUAAAUGACCAGAGUGGGUGUGGAUCACCAUGUACGUGGCGACAACGGUCAUAUUUUCUUUAGUGCGUGUGUAUGUACCAUGUAAGUAUUAAUUGUUUUCUCUGACAACCUGGAUCAGAGAGUGUGUAUGUGUGUUUUUAGUCUCUUGACGGUCGUGUGUAUCCCUCUACGACUGGCAAAGCGAGUUGCGUGCGUGCGUGUGAAUUGUGUUGGAGUGGCUUGUGUGCAGUUGUGUGUUAGUGUGAAGGACCAUGGCUGUUUUCUAAUCGUGUUGACGGGGUUAUGUGUAGAAGAGUGGUUGUAGUAGGUAUGAUUGUGCACACAGUGGAGUGUUUAUGAAGAAGGCAUUAUGAGUGGGAAUCGAGUCACACAUUUCUUGACAUUUGAUCCUGAUUUACUCCAAAUAAAACCUGCAACUCUCAUAUGCAAUGAAAGGAUAUAUGUGUUUUGCAUGGAAAGUAUGUUGUAAUGUUUUUGUAUCCCUAUAAAGGCCUAUGUGUGUGAGCUCCGUGAUUUUUAACGCCAUACACGUAUUUGAUUUUGGUAAACCCAGUCAGUUUUAGAAAAUAGGACAGAGGUCUAUGUCAUACUUAUCCAUCUACUCAUCUCUCUCUAUCCUUAUUUUUGUCGUUGGAGUGGCCAUUUUAGGCAGAUGUCUUCUUGUCAACUUUAUCUCUUAUGGGAGAUGGUGUCUGUUGGCUUUAUGACCAGCACCAAAUAUUCAAUUCCAGACAAGUUAACAGUUCGGUUCAGCUCCUGCCACAGCUUCAACAUUGUCUGUUUCUCUUUCACUCUGCCCUCUUUCCCUGCUUUAUGCUCUUUCUCGUCUCUUUCUGCAAUCUGUCUCUGUUUCUCUCUCUCUCUCGAUUAGUCCUGAGUGAGGCUGAUUUCAGGCUCCAGUUCCUCACCUACACAGCCAGCUCUGCUUUCUCUGCCCCUGGGAACUGGGCAUCAUGUUUGCCCAAGGCCUCGCUUGCCCUUGGUACUAAGAACUGAAGUCCGAGCUACACACACACUCAACCUGACCGGUCAUGGGUAAUUCAGUUGUGCAGUACUCAAAGGAAUAAAUACAGAAUGUAAUGUGCAGAUGCAUACAUAGUGAUAGAAACGGAGAGACAUGUUGUAGGAUUGGCAGGGGUCCCCAUUUUCCGGCAGUUGCAUACGUAUUCUGUGUGGAACAGAAUCAAUACAUUGUGUGCUAUUCUAAGG
Long non-coding RNA from Oncorhynchus mykiss (rainbow trout), 5228 nucleotides. Lineage: Eukaryota; Metazoa; Chordata; Actinopteri; Salmoniformes; Salmonidae. The record is from Ensembl.